AUUGAACGCUGGCGGCAUGCCUUACACAUGCAAGUCGAACGGUAACAGGUUAAGCUGACGAGUGGCGAACGGGUGAGUAAUAUAUCGGAACGUGCCCAGUCGUGGGGGAUAACGUAGCGAAAGCUACGCUAAUACCGCAUACGAUCUACGGAUGAAAGCGGGGGAUCGCAAGACCUCGCGCGAUUGGAGCGGCCGAUAUCAGAUUAGGUUGUUGGUGAGGUAAAAGCUCACCAAGCCUGCGAUCUGUAGCCGGUCUGAGAGGACGACCAGCCACACUGGAACUGAGACACGGUCCAGACUCCUACGGGAGGCAGCAGUGGGGAAUUUUGGACAAUGGACGCAAGUCUGAUCCAGCAAUGCCGCGUGCAGGACGAAGGCCUUCGGGUUGUAAACUGCUUUUGUACGGAACGAAAAGGUUUCUACUAAUACUAGGAGCUCAUGACGGUACUGUAAGAAUAAGCACCGGCUAACUACGUGCCAGCCGCCGCAGUAA
Molecule: ribosomal RNA, 493 nt
Filed under: uncultured bacterium
Lineage: Bacteria
Description: partial 16S ribosomal RNA
Rfam family: Bacterial small subunit ribosomal RNA
Source: RNAcentral